Molecule: ribosomal RNA, 796 nt
Filed under: uncultured bacterium
Lineage: Bacteria
Description: bacterial SSU rRNA
Rfam family: Bacterial small subunit ribosomal RNA
Source: RNAcentral
UNUGACUUGAGUGCAGAAGGGGAGAGUGGAAUUCCAUGUGUAGCGGUGAAAUGCGUAGAUAUAUGGAGGAACACCAGUGGCGAAAGCGGCUCUCUGGUCUGUCACUGACGCUGAGGCUCGAAAGCGUGGGUAGCGAACAGGAUUAGAUACCCUGGUAGUNCACGCCGUAAACGAUGAGUGCUAGGUGUUAGGCCCUUUCCGGGGCUUAGUGCCGGAGCUAACGCAAUAAGCACUCCGCCUGGGGAGUACGACCGCAAGGUUGAAACUCAAAGGAAUUGACGGGGGCCCGCACAAGCGGUGGAGCAUGUGGUUUAAUUCGAAGCAACGCGAAGAACCUUACCAGGUCUUGACAUCCCGAUGCUAUUCUUAGAGAUAGGAAGUUACUUCGGUACAUCGGAGACAGGUGGUGCAUGGUUGUCGUCAGCUCGUGUCGUGAGAUGUUGGGUUAAGUCCCGCAACGAGCGCAACCCUUAUUGUUAGUUACCAUCAUUAAGUUGGGCACUCUAGCGAGACUGCCGGUAAUAAACCGGAGGAAGGUGGGGAUGACGUCAAAUCAUCAUGCCCCUUAUGACCUGGGCUACACACGUGCUACAAUGGUCGGUACAACGAGUUGCGAGCCGGUGACGGCAAGCUAAUCUCUGAAAGCCGAUCUCAGUUCGGAUUGGAGGCUGCAACUCGCCUCCAUGAAGUCGGAAUCGCUAGUAAUCGCGGAUCAGCACGCCGCGGUGAAUACGUUCCCGGGCCUUGUACACACCGCCCGUCACACCACGAGAGUUUGUAACACCCGAAGUCGGUG